AACGAACGCUGGCGGCAUGCCUAACACAUGCGAGUCGAACGAGACCUUCGGGUCUAGUGGCGCACGGGUGCGUAACGCGUGGGAACCUGCCCUUAGGUUCGGAAUAACUCCCCGAAAGGGGUGCUAAUACCGGAUAAUGUCUUCGGACCAAAGAUUUAUCGCCUUUGGAUGGGCCCGCGUUGGAUUAGCUAGUUGGUAGGGUAAAAGCCUACCAAGGCGACGAUCCAUAGCUGGUCUGAGAGGAUGAUCAGCCACACUGGGACUGAGACACGGCCCAGACUCCUACGGGAGGCAGCAGUGGGGAAUAUUGGACAAUGGGCGAAAGCCUGAUCCAGAAAUGCCGCGUGAGUGAUGAAGGCCUUAGGGUUGUAAAGCUCUUUUACCCGGGAUGAUAAUGACAGUACCGGGAGAAUAAGCGCCGGCUAACUCCGUG
RNAcentral lists this ribosomal RNA (433 nucleotides) under uncultured bacterium. RNAcentral's name for it is "partial 16S ribosomal RNA". It matches the Rfam family "Bacterial small subunit ribosomal RNA", at positions 29 to 507 of the family's 1533-position model. The record is from RNAcentral.